RNAcentral lists this ribosomal RNA (315 nucleotides) under uncultured bacterium. RNAcentral's name for it is "bacterial SSU rRNA". It matches the Rfam family "Bacterial small subunit ribosomal RNA", at positions 28 to 334 of the family's 1533-position model. The record is from RNAcentral.
GAUGAACGCUGGCGGCGUGCUUAACACAUGCAAGUCGAGCGAAGCGCUUUGAAUUUUUCGGAAUGAGAAGUGACUGAGCGGCGGACGGGUGAGUAACGCGUGGGUAACCUGCCUCAUACAGGGGGAUAACAGUUAGAAAUGACUGCUAAUACCGCAUAAGCGCACGUCAUCGCAUGAUGGUGUGUGAAAAACUCCGGUGGUAUGAGAUGGACCCGCGUCUGAUUAGGUAGUUGGUGGGGUAACGGCCCACCAAGCCGACGAUCAGUAGCCGGACUGAGAGGUUGAACGGCACAUUGGGACUGAGACACGGCCCAG